RNAcentral lists this ribosomal RNA (433 nucleotides) under uncultured bacterium. RNAcentral's name for it is "partial 16S ribosomal RNA". It matches the Rfam family "Bacterial small subunit ribosomal RNA", at positions 29 to 507 of the family's 1533-position model. The record is from RNAcentral.
AACGAACGCUGGCGGCAUGCCUAACACAUGCAAGUCGAACGAGACCUUCGGGUCUAGUGGCGCACGGGUGCGUAACGCGUGGGAACCUGCCCUUAGGUUCGGAAUAACUCCCCGAAAGGGGUGCUAAUACCGGAUAAUGUCUUCGGACCAAAGAGUUAUCGCCUUUGGAUGGGCCCGCGUUGGAUUAGCUAGUUGGUAGGGUAAAAGCCUACCAAGGCGACGAUCCAUAGCUGGUCUGAGAGGAUGAUCAGCCACACUGGGACUGAGACACGGCCCAGACUCCGACGGGAGGCAGCAGUGGGGAAUAUUGGACGAUGGGCGAAAGCCUGAUCAAGCAAUGCGGCGUGAGUGAUGAAGGCCUUAGGGUUGUAAAGCUCUUUUACCCGGGAUGAUAAUGACAGUACCGGGAGAAUAAGCUCCGGCUAACUCCGUG